RNAcentral lists this long non-coding RNA (1020 nucleotides) under Capsicum annuum. RNAcentral describes it as "long non-coding RNA (CANN_LNC001724)". The record is from RNAcentral. Lineage: Eukaryota; Viridiplantae; Streptophyta; Magnoliopsida; Solanales; Solanaceae.
GAAAAUUUAUCCAGAUUAAUUAAGUUAAAUGUUAGUUAAGCACAAAUAAACAAUACAAGCUAUAAAAAAAAUGAUGCAAGAAUCAAAAUUGGGCCCUCAAUUGGCCUAUUAAUGAAGCUGCCCAGUUUUGGGCUUGAAUUAUGGACUUCAGUCCAUUUUUUGGAAGUGUAUAUCAGUUGUAUACUUACGGUAUAUCUGCCCUAUUUCUGCUGCCUUUUUGCAUACGCAUGCUGCCUUUUUUCAUACGCAUUGUCUAUCUGUGUAUAAACCUUGUGUCCUCCCCUUUUUCCACUUUUAAUAUAAGCCAUUAUCAGCUGCUUUCCAGUGUACACCAACUGUAUGUAAGUGUAUAUCCCAUGUAUAUCAGUCCAGUUUUGGACUUUAAGGCUCUUCUCGGGCAGCCAACUGAGACGAUGAAUCGAUGACACUUCACCACCGAUUUUUCUUUGAGAAUUUUAGUUGCGUAGGAUUAUAAGCACGCACCUCCCGAGUCCUCAAAUUUUCCCCCAAAAUCCUCUUUCUUACCUUUAUCUCUCAAUGACUAUAAAAAAAGGAAAGAAUUGGGGCUUCAGCUUUUGACAAUAUGGACUUCAAAUCCAAAUUUUGAAACUACUUUUUGAGAAAUUGAAGUCCAUAGUGAGACAAACCAAAGAGUUGUUGAGAAUUAAGUACUUGCCGAAAAUGGCAAACCAAAGACUGAGUAUGCUGAAAGCAUCUGAUUUUUGGCCAUUUACGGGUGUACAGAGAGGGUAAAAUGGUAAUAGAAAGGAGGCUGAUGUUUUGCCGGUUAGCGGUGUUUGUCGAUAUAGCCGUUGCUGGAGCUGUUGUUGACGUGUUUGAAGCCGUUACAGUUGCUGUUGAAAUUGUGGUACUUGGUGAUGUGGUUCUGUUGCUGUCGUUAUUUUGCUGAGUUACGGUGUUCGUUGGGUCAUUGUUUAACGUUGUGGUUGAUAACGUUGUUGUCUAUCAUUUACUGUUAUACGGGUAAAGUGGGAAGGGGAAUAUAUCAGUGUUGGGUUG